UAGUACCAUUAUGAUGUUUGCUCUUUCCUUCUAUGUUUCCAUGGUGACUGAAAAUGGAGCCCUUUCUUCAGGCCACUGGUCUUUGCAGCACUGAUGUUCUCAGCCACAGAAGUGUACUUAGAGGUACCUUCCCUUUACACUUCAUACAGAGACUCAAAGAAGAGACUAAGCUAUCAGUCUCAUCCAGGAUUUCACUGCUGAGCUGAAUACAAAUCAUCAGUUAAGUGAAGCAAUGGUGACAAGAAUUUGCUUAGGUUUCCUACCCUUCACUGCCUUCCACAUAUUCUACCACAGUAGUGUCCAAAUCAAGGAGGAAAUGGUGCCAUACAUAAGUUCCUACUGGACAAAUACUGACAAACUGCUUGAGACAUCAAAUGCUUCCUUUUGUACUUUUUCUUUAGUUCUGUGGAAAAUGGAAUCUGUUGGAUGGAGUGAGUAUUGUUCCUUAGUCUCUAUGAAGUACCCCUUCUUAUUCCUAGGACAAUGACAGUUUGGGUUACUUGGAAGAUUUCUAAGCUUAAGUAAUUUUGGAUCUACAUCCCUAAUAUU
RNAcentral lists this long non-coding RNA (549 nucleotides) under Monodelphis domestica (gray short-tailed opossum). RNAcentral's name for it is "lncRNA (ENSMODG00000032115.2)". The record is from RNAcentral. Lineage: Eukaryota; Metazoa; Chordata; Mammalia; Didelphimorphia; Didelphidae.